Molecule: ribosomal RNA, 439 nt
Filed under: uncultured bacterium
Lineage: Bacteria
Description: partial 16S ribosomal RNA
Rfam family: Bacterial small subunit ribosomal RNA
Source: RNAcentral
CUACGGGGGGCAGCAGUGAGGAAUAUUGCACAAUGGAGGAAACUCUGAUGCAGCAACGCCGCGUGGAGGAUGACGCAUUUCGGUGUGUAAACUCCUUCUAUAUGUCAAGAAAAUGACGGUAGCAUAUGAAUAAGCUCCGGCUAACUCCGUGCCAGCAGCCGCGGUAAUACGGAGGGAGCAAGCGUUACUCGGAAUCACUGGGCGUAAAGGACGCGUAGGCGGGAUAGAAAGUCAGGUGUGAAAUCCUAUGGCUCAACCAUAGAACUGCACUUGAAACUUCUAACCUAGAGUAUGGGAGGGGAAGAUGGAAUUAGUGGUGUAGGGGUAAAAUCCGUAGAUAUCACUAGGAAUACCAAAAGCGAAGGCGAUCUUCUGGAACAAUACUGACGCUAAGGCGUGAAAGCGUGGGGAGCAAACAGGAUUAGAUGCCCUCGUAGUC